UGUCCUCAAUAGGAGGUCUAUAUUGAGUAGAUUUUUGGUGUUGGGAGGUGACACUGGAGCUUGCUCCAUCCCCUCCAUGCAUCGGCCUGGUAUGCCAGUGCUUCCAGGAGCGGUGC
Crocodylus porosus (Australian saltwater crocodile) is the source of this 116-nucleotide small nuclear RNA. Its record names the gene U2. It matches the Rfam family "U2 spliceosomal RNA". From Rfam's summary of the family: U2 is a small nuclear RNA (snRNA) component of the spliceosome (involved in pre-mRNA splicing). Complementary binding between U2 snRNA (in an area lying towards the 5' end but 3' to hairpin I) and the branchpoint sequence (BPS) of the intron results the bulging out of an unpaired adenosine, on the BPS, which initiates a nucleophilic attack at the intronic 5' splice site, thus starting the first of two transesterification reactions that mediate splicing. The record is from Ensembl. Lineage: Eukaryota; Metazoa; Chordata; Crocodylia; Crocodylidae.